This 253-nucleotide ribosomal RNA is filed under the name uncultured bacterium. RNAcentral's name for it is "partial 16S ribosomal RNA". It matches the Rfam family "Bacterial small subunit ribosomal RNA", at positions 524 to 776 of the family's 1533-position model. The record is from RNAcentral.
UACGUAGGGGGCUAGCGUUGUCCGGAAUCAUUGGGCGUAAAGCGCGUGUAGGCGGUCCGUUAAGUCCGCUGUGAAAGUCGAGGGCUCAACCCUCGAAUGCCGGUGGAUACUGUCGGGCUUGAGUACGGGAGAGGCGAGUGGAAUUCCUGGUGUAGCGGUGAAAUGCGUAGAUAUCUGGAGGAACACCGGUGGCGAAGGCGGCAUCCUGGACCGGUAUUGACGCUGAGGCGCGAAAGCUAGGGGAGCAAACGGG